RNAcentral lists this ribosomal RNA (251 nucleotides) under uncultured prokaryote. Its description in RNAcentral is "partial 16S ribosomal RNA". It matches the Rfam family "Bacterial small subunit ribosomal RNA", at positions 524 to 774 of the family's 1533-position model. The record is from RNAcentral.
UACGGAGGAUGCAAGCGUUAUCCGGAUUCAUUGGGUUUAAAGGGUGCGCAGGCGGGCAUUUAAGUCAGUGGUGAAAAGCUGCCGCUCAACGGUAGUCUUGCCAUUGAUACUUUUUGUCUUGAGUUUGUUUGAGGUAGGCGGAAUGUGCAGUGUAGCGGUGAAAUGCAUAGAUAUUGCACGGAACUCCGAUUGCGUAGGCAGCUUACUAGACCAAUACUGACGCUCAUGCACGAAAGCGUGGGGAUCAAACA